CGCGUAGGUGGUAGUGCAAGUCUGGGGUGGAAUCCCAGGGCUUAACCCUGGAACUGCCUUGGAAACUGUAUUACUUGAGUCAGUGAGGGGAGGGUAGAAUUCCUGGUGUAGCGGUGAAAUGCGUAGAUAUCAGGAGGAAGGCCUGUGGCGAAGGCGGCCCUCUGGCGCUGAACUGACACUGAGGCGCGAAAGCGUGGGGAGCAAACAGGAUUAGAUACCCUGGUAGUCCACGCCCUAAACGGUGGGUACUAGGUGUAGGGCUCGUAAGGGUUCUGUGCCGAAGCGAAAGCAUUAAGUACCCCGCCGUGGGGAGUACGGCCGCAAGGUUGAA
Molecule: ribosomal RNA, 331 nt
Filed under: uncultured bacterium
Lineage: Bacteria
Description: bacterial SSU rRNA
Rfam family: Bacterial small subunit ribosomal RNA
Source: RNAcentral